Molecule: ribosomal RNA, 379 nt
Filed under: uncultured bacterium
Lineage: Bacteria
Description: bacterial SSU rRNA
Rfam family: Bacterial small subunit ribosomal RNA
Source: RNAcentral
UAGGGAAUAUUGCAAAAUGGGCGAAAGCCCGAUGCAGCAACGCCGCGUGGGCGAUGAAGGCCUUCGGGUCGUAAAGCCCUUUUUGAGGGGAUGAGGAAGGACAGUACCCUCAGAAUAAGCCUCGGCUAACUACGUGCCAGCAGCCGCGGUAAAACGUAGGAGGCGAGCGUUAUCCGGAUUUACUGGGCGUAAAGCGCGUGCAGGCGGAUUGGAGAGUUGGAUGUGAAAGCUCCCGGCUUAACUGGGAGAGGUCGUUCAAUACUUCCAGUCUUGAGUGCAGUAGAGGGAAGUGGAAUUCCGGGUGUAGUGGUGAAAUGCGUAGAUAUCCGGAGGAACACCAGUCGCGAAAGCGGCUUCCUGAACUGUAACUGACGCUCAG